This 72-nucleotide transfer RNA is filed under the name Plautia stali symbiont. It matches the Rfam family "tRNA". From Rfam's summary of the family: Transfer RNA (tRNA) molecules are approximately 80 nucleotides in length. Their secondary structure includes four short double-helical elements and three loops (D, anti-codon, and T loops). Lineage: Bacteria; Pseudomonadati; Pseudomonadota; Gammaproteobacteria; Enterobacterales; Enterobacteriaceae. The record is from Rfam by way of RNAcentral.
UGGGAUAUCGCCAAGCGGUAAGGCACCGGUUUUUGAUACCGGCAUUCCAUGGUUCGAAUCCAGGUAUCCCAG